RNAcentral lists this long non-coding RNA (1100 nucleotides) under Macaca mulatta (Rhesus monkey). RNAcentral describes it as "lncRNA (ENSMMUG00000064780.1)". The record is from RNAcentral. Lineage: Eukaryota; Metazoa; Chordata; Mammalia; Primates; Cercopithecidae.
GAAUUCAGCCUCUGAAUCCCUCCUGGGCCUGGGGUGGAGCAGGGUGAACACAUACGGAAGCGUAAACACAGUGGCCAACCUCAGCCUGCAGCUCAGCCCCGCAGUCUCCUGGGCAACGCGCCGUGUGGGACAUUGUCUCUCACUUGAAAAGCUGCUUACAGGCCCCCACCGCAUCCGCAUCGUGGGUUUAAAGUGGAUUAGUGGGAGGGCUGGUGGUUCGGGGCAGCCCCUUCACGUGGUGGCGAGCUUGGUAGUGACAACGGGCAGGCUGCUGUGCUCCAGGCAGGUGGCUGGAGCUGGGCGUGGAUGUCUCUCCGUGAGGACUGUCUGCCCUGCCUGCUGCUCUCAAGGCUCCUGGGUUUCCCACCACGCUCUCUUCACCUUCCUCUUCUACCGGGAGGAAGGUCCCAGGGCACGGGAGGGACCCUGUCUAGAGUGGAGCUGGGCUGCCCCAUCUCAGGUCACGGCUGCCCCAUCUCAGGUCAUGGGUCACGGCAGCCCCAUCUUGGGUCAUGGCAUCCCAAUCUCAGGUCAUGGCGUCCCUAUCUCAGGUUAUGGGUCACAGCUGCCCCAUCUCAGGUCACGGCUGCCCCAUCUCGGGUCACGGCGUCCCAAUCUCAGGUCAUGGGUCACGGCUGCCCCAUCUCAGGUCAUGGCAUCCCCAUCUCAGGUCAUGGGUCACGGCAGCCCCAUCUCGGGUCACAGCUGCCCCAUCUCGGGUCAUGGGUCACGGCAGCCCCAUCUCGGGUCACGGCUGCCCUAUCUCAGGUCAUGGGUCAUGGCUGCCCCAUCUCAGGUCAUGGGUCACGGCUGCCCUAUCUCAGGUCAUGGGUCACGGCUGCCCCAUCUCAGGUCACAGCAGCCCCCUUCAGGUGAAGGUCAAGGUGCAGCUCUUCUCCCAGCCUGAAGCAGAGCCUGUUGUCAGCAAGUACCCAGCAUCCGAUUGCUUCUCAUGGCCUCCACCCCGGCCAUGCUGGUCCAAGCCACUGCUGUCUCAGGCCUGGACUGGUACAGCUCCUGCUGUUGCCCUCUGUGGGGCAGCCUCACACGGCUCAGGGCACCCCUGCUGGUGCUCAGUCCUCAUGCACUCCCUCCCUUGA